AAAUUUCCAGAGAGAGAGAGAAAGGGAGUUCUUGAGAGAAAUCCCAAAUCCGACCAAAAUUCAAGUCCCGAAACCCGAAGCUCAUGAAGAGAAAAUUGUUGUACGUCGCGUUGGCUUCAAUUUGAGCUAGAAAUCAGCCAAUAAGGAGAAGAUUUUAUGUGGUGCUGCAAAUUUAAGGUUGAGACAAUAUUGGACAACAUAUACGUAUAAACGCUAAAGGUACAAAUACUCAUUUUGGAGAGCCGCCAACUUAGGAUUCUACUCAACGGGUUUGAAGUGCUCCAUUGUCUCGGAGCCCAAACUUUGGGUACUAAUCCUUAUAAUGUAUAUAUUUGUGUAUUUAGGGGUACGACGGGGCCUUGUCCCGUCAUAUGCUAUUGUUAAUUCUCUUAGAGGUCUGUAGACAUAUGAGUGGGUUGUAUAUAGAUGUUGUCCGGUGUACUAGUAUGACUUAUGUUUUUGGACGUUUACAUUCAGAAUGGAAGCCUUGUCGGCUUACAUAUUAUGUUAUCUUAUUUUUGACAAUUAAGACUCCCCAAGAAAUAGGUGAUUUUAGUAUAUAUAUAAGUAACAGUUUGAGACAACGUGCUACCCAUAUAAAUCCUUUAUCAUGCUUAAUUGCCGAUUGACUAUAGAUAAUAUGUGUGUAUACGAGGGUCCAAUUUGGACACUAGUCACGGGGCUAGGUC
Molecule: long non-coding RNA, 689 nt
Organism: Solanum dulcamara
Lineage: Eukaryota; Viridiplantae; Streptophyta; Magnoliopsida; Solanales; Solanaceae
Exons: 3
Source: RefSeq, a predicted model, not a curated record